CUACAUUGUGACUGACCGACAUCCACAAAUCCAAAAGUUUUUGAGAGAACGCAGCAUUACACAAUACUAUGAUGUGUGGCAUUUUGAAAAAGGUUUGUCAAAGAGACUAGCCCCUCUGGCAGAAAAAAAGGGCUGUGAGGUUUUAAAGAAAUGGUUGCGCUGUAUUAAAAAUCAUGUUUAUUGGUGCGCAAUAUCUUCAACUUUUGGACCUGAGAAGGUGGCCAAGUGGAACUCCUUGAUAAACCAUCUUCAAAAUGUGCAUGUCCAUGACGACCCUACAUUUUCCAAAUAUGAACAUCCGGACCAAGAGUCUAGAAUUUCAACGAAAUGGUUAACACCAGGGUCAAUGGUUUUACAUGAAGUAGAAAAAAUCUUAGUCAAUAAGAGAGCCCUCAGGGAUGUUGGGAAGCUAAGCCAUCACCAUCAAACAUCAUCAGUGGAGGCCUUCCAUAGCCUGAUUCUUCGAUUUGCACCCAAAAAUGUGGUCUUCCCAUUUAUUGGAAUGCUGUGCAGUUAUUUAAAGUAUUCUUUUAAUUGUGUAAAAUAAACUAGUAUUUACAUUUACAAUAAAUGUAUUGCCUGUUAUGAUUUUACAGAUUGUACCUUGCAACCAUGCAUUAUAAUGAAAAUGCAGACCGUGAGCAAGCGUAUUGCCUGUUAUGAUUUUACAGAUUGUACCUUGCAACCAUGCAUUAUAAUGAAAAUGCAGACCGUGAGCAAGCUGUAACAAAAGCAGGAGAGGCAAGGUUCAAGGUUGUGUUCCCAAAAUCUAAGAGAGGGGAAUGCAUCGCAAGGCCAGUAAAAACACAAUCGACAUACUUUUAUGGGGAUGACCUGAUCAGGCUUGUGUUUGGCGAGGUGCUUGAGGACCCAGCUCCAUUUCACGAGUUCGCCCUUACAUCUAAUCUGAUUGCGAAAGUAAGCAUAUUUUGGCGUGCUGUCCUGGGGAAGGGCUCAGGAUCCAGAGUGAGGCUCGAACUCCGAAUCCGAGGUAUGGCCCGAACCCGGAGAACUCCCCCAUCCCAAACUGGGAUAGAACAGAUUAGAGUGGCGAAUUGGGGUGGUGGAGGGAUAUCCGAAAACGAUCUCAAUAGACUGAGCUGAAGGAAAUCCCGAUUCCAUUGGACCUGGCAUCACAAUUUGAGAGGCCUUCUAAGGAGGACGUGAUUGAACGCCAUCUCACGCGCUUCAGUGUGAGGUGGUCGGAAGCCGACAUACUGACCAGCCUGAACGGGAAACUCCAAGCGGAUCCUUAGAACAACACACGACGGGAUGACAAGCCUAUUGUGUCGUCCUAGAUGGCUCCAACACCAGCUGACAAAGCUUCGAUACGCUGUGUAUCUGUAACCUCUGUAAGCAUUAAAAUGGACAAUUAUUCAGAGGGGAACAAUAAAGGAUAUAGUAUAUUAUAUUAUAAUUACUAAA
Paramisgurnus dabryanus is the source of this 1425-nucleotide long non-coding RNA. RefSeq lists it as uncharacterized. The record is from RefSeq and is a predicted model, not a curated record. Lineage: Eukaryota; Metazoa; Chordata; Actinopteri; Cypriniformes; Cobitidae.